RNAcentral lists this ribosomal RNA (492 nucleotides) under uncultured bacterium. Its description in RNAcentral is "partial 16S ribosomal RNA". It matches the Rfam family "Bacterial small subunit ribosomal RNA", at positions 29 to 507 of the family's 1533-position model. The record is from RNAcentral.
AGUGAACGCUGGCGGUAGGCCUAACACAUGCAAGUCGAACGGCAGCACAGUAAGAGCUUGCUCUUACCGGUGGCGGGUGGCGGGCGGGUGACGAAUGUAUCGUAAUCUACUCUUUCGUGGGGCAUAACGUAACGAAACUUACGCUAAUACCGCAUAUCACCUACCGGGGAAAGCAUGGGAACGUUGGGCCGUUCGCGGUUGAAUGAGCCGAUGACGGACUAGCUAGUGGGGCGGGUAAAGGCCCACCAAGGCGACGAUCGGUAGCCGGUCUGAGUGGAUGAUCAGCCACACUGGAGCGUAGCCACGGUCCAGAGUACUACGGGACGCAGCAGUGGGGUAUAUUGGGCAAUGGGCGCAAGUAUUGUCCAGCGAUCCCGCGUGUGUUAAGGCGGCGUUCGGGUUGUAAAGACCUCUUGCGGGGUAAGAACAGCUGUCGGUUGUUACGACGCGGUUGUGACGGUAACCAAUGAAUAAGCACCGGCUAACUUCGUG